This is a long non-coding RNA of Mobula hypostoma (lesser devil ray), 611 nucleotides long. RefSeq lists it as uncharacterized. The record is from RefSeq and is a predicted model, not a curated record. NCBI's taxonomy places the organism in Eukaryota, Metazoa, Chordata, Chondrichthyes, Myliobatiformes, Myliobatidae. The transcript has 3 exons.
GAAGGAGUCAAUUUUAGCAAAACCUGGCACAUUUAUUUUUCAACAUAGUCCCCUCCUACAUUUACACUCUUAGUCCAGCGGUCGUGAAGCAUAUGGAUCUUGGACCUCCAGAAACUGUCCACAGCAGGGGCUGCGAACUUAUCAAUCAAACAACAGGAAUUCUGCAGAUGCUGGAAAUUCAAGCAACAUACAUCAAAGUUGCUGGUGAACGCAGCAGGCCAAGCAGCAUCUAUAGGAAGAGGCGCAGUCGACGUUUCAGGCCGAGACCCUUCGUCAGGACUAACUGAAGGAAGAGAUAAUGGGAUUGAGUGAGAGCUCAAAGACUCGUACGGCCAGAUUUGGGAACAGCUUCUUUCCAACUGUGACAAGACUGCUGAACGGAUCCUGACCCGGAUCUGGGCCGUACCCUCCAAAUAUCCGGACCUGCCUCUUGGUUUUUUUUUGCACUACCUUACUUUCCCUUUUCUAUUUUCUGUUUAUGAUUUAUAGUUUAAAUCUUAACUAUUUACUAUCUAUCUGUACUCUAGGGAGCACAGAAUCAAAUACUGUAUCGCUGUGAUGAUUGUACGCUCUAGUAUCAAUUGUUUGGCGACAAUAAAGUAAAGUAAUGA